RNAcentral lists this long non-coding RNA (427 nucleotides) under Daucus carota (carrot). Its description in RNAcentral is "long non-coding RNA (DCAR_LNC007398)". The record is from RNAcentral. Lineage: Eukaryota; Viridiplantae; Streptophyta; Magnoliopsida; Apiales; Apiaceae.
UUUAGUCAUGUCAGGUUCAGAUAGAAUCCAUUGGUUUCAAGUGGAGACUCUUCGGGGUUCAGUUCGACAGGUUGUUUGAAAACUGAGUUGGUCAGCGCACACAAUAUUUUUGGUAUCUUUAGCAAAAGAAGGGUUGCUAUAUAUAUUGAAGCCUUGACAAACAAGGAUGAUAGGGCUUGUCUGAAAUUCAAGUGGAUGUUUUGAAAGAAACAUCACAACAAGUUCUUAUGCUAUUUUAGGAAAGGUGCGAGCUGGAUCAGUUGCUGAUGAGAAGGAUGAUUAUGGUUAUCUGGCUAUCCUAGCAUUCUCUGAAGAUGACUCAACUCGCACAUCUCAGGUACGAAUUCUUUCUAACUAUGCAAUACAUAUUUCUUUAUAUUCAAAGCAUGUUAUAAAUCUCUGAGUAGAAUUGUUUAACACACAAGCA